AAUGAACGCUGGCGGCAUGCCUUACACAUGCAAGUCGAACGGCAGCAUGACCUAGCUUGCUAGGUUGAUGGCGAGUGGCGAACGGGUGAGUAAUGCAUCGGAACGUGCCUUUUAGUGGGGGAUAACGUAGCGAAAGUUACGCUAAUACCGCAUAUUCUCUGAGGAGGAAAGCAGGGGACCUUCGGGCCUUGCGCUAGAAGAGCGGCCGAUGUCGGAUUAGCUAGUUGGUGAGGUACAGGCUCACCAAGGCAACGAUCCGUAGCGGGUCUGAGAGGAUGAUCCGCCAAACGGGGACUUGGACACGGCCCAGGCUCCUACGGGAGGCAGCAGUGGGGAAUUUUUGACAAUGGGCGCAAGCCUGAUCCAGCCAUGCCGCGUGAGUGAAGAAGGCCUUCGGGUUGUAAAGCUCUUUCGGCUGGGAAGAAAUCGCACCCUCUAAUACAGGGUGUGGAUGACGGUACCAGCAUAAGAAGCACCGGCUAACUACGUG
Molecule: ribosomal RNA, 490 nt
Filed under: uncultured bacterium
Lineage: Bacteria
Description: partial 16S ribosomal RNA
Rfam family: Bacterial small subunit ribosomal RNA
Source: RNAcentral